GAUUCUUAUUCUUAGUUUUCUACUGACUUAUAAGUCGUAUAAUUAAAAAGUCACGGAGUCGUAUUAGAACUAUUAGAUCUAGAAGUGAUCUAGCUAUAUCUACAUCUCUAGAUCUAUAUAAAAAUUAUAAGUAUAUAGUCAAUAUAGAAUCUACUUUAGAUUCUACUAGAUCUAGAUCUAUAAAUUAUAGAUAAGUUCUGCUAUUGAAUUAUUAUUUGAAUAUCAUCAUGUCAGACUCCUUGACCCAAAUAGAUCUAAGAAUGAUUCUAAAGAGACCAUUACACUGGAAAGAUGAUGAAAUUUUUAAUAAAUCAAAAAUUCAGAGACGAUUUCACAAAAAUGAGCAUUCUAAUAAUGGCUUAAAAACUGAAUUAUCUCCCACUUGUGGAUUUAGUCAUUCUCUUUUGAAUACUGACUACACACAGCCCUGUUUUAAUUCAGAUCCUUGCAUAGAUAUGAACAUAAAAGAUAUUCUUUAUGUUGAGAAACAAAUUCAUAAUAAAACUGUAAAUGGUAUUCUUUCAUCAUCUUCCUUUGAUUCUGUUGUACCGGUAUUGAAGAGUUCUCUACCAAGAUGCUCAGAGUGUGCUGCUGGCAAAUCUGGCCAUCUACAGCACAAAAAAUAAUUGAUUUACUUAAUUAUGAAUAGAAUCAUCUGGAGCAAGUAAGUUAUGUGAAGAUUCAUCACAGGCAGCUUAAGGGCUUUGCAACACAAGCAGUUGUUCAACAGAGCUCUAA
This is a long non-coding RNA of Biomphalaria glabrata, 738 nucleotides long. RefSeq lists it as uncharacterized. The record is from RefSeq and is a predicted model, not a curated record. Lineage: Eukaryota; Metazoa; Mollusca; Gastropoda; Planorbidae. The transcript has 4 exons.